AUCAACGAGAGUUUGAUCCUGGCUCAGAAUCAACGCUGGCGGCGUGCCUCAGACAUGCAAGUCGAACGAUUAAGACUUCCUUCGGGAAGUGCAUAAAGUGGCGCACGGGUGAGUAACACGUAAGUAAUCUACCCUCGAGUGGGGAAUAACGUUCGGAAACGGACGCUAAUACCGCAUAACGCAGCGGCACCGCAAGGUGACAGUUGUUAAAGGAGCAAUCCGCUUGAGGAGGAGCUUGCGGCAGAUUAGCUAGUUGGUAAGGUAAUGGCUUACCAAGGCUACGAUCUGUAUCCGGUCUAAGAGGACGGUCGGACACACUGACACUGAAUAACGGGUCAGACUCCUACGGGAGGCAGCAGUCGGGAAUUUUGGGCAAUGGGCGAAAGCCUGACCCAGCAACGCCGCGU
Molecule: ribosomal RNA, 407 nt
Filed under: Blastocatellia bacterium
Lineage: Bacteria; Pseudomonadati; Acidobacteriota; Blastocatellia
Description: bacterial SSU rRNA
Rfam family: Bacterial small subunit ribosomal RNA
Source: RNAcentral